Molecule: long non-coding RNA, 1451 nt
Organism: Nannospalax galili (Upper Galilee mountains blind mole rat)
Lineage: Eukaryota; Metazoa; Chordata; Mammalia; Rodentia; Spalacidae
Exons: 4
Source: RefSeq, a predicted model, not a curated record
CUCAAACCAGACAGAAUCCCAGCAUGGACAUAGGAGCUUAAUGGAGCCUCUGUCCUUCCAAGAAUGCAACACAGCAAACGGGAAGCUGAAACCCAUCAGGAAUGGCCCUGAUACAGAUCAGGGGGACAUUGGUGUAUAUGUGCAUGUAUCUGCGAAGUCCCUGCAGAAGACUCUCUGAACGCAAGGCAGGGAAGCCUCCCACGACUGAGCCAUGGUGUAGGGGCAGAAGAAAGUGGUGCCCAUCUCACUUGAGGAUUCCAAGGACUGGAAUGUGGACAUCGUUGAGACCAUUAUCUGCCUCCUCAACUCACUGGGCGUUGCUGCAGCUAUCAGAGAGGAUGCUGGCAGGAGAGGGCACCUGGAGCCUGUGGUGCCUGGUGGAGGAAUACAGCUACUAAGUGUGAGCUGGGAUCCCACAGUGAAGAACACCUAACCCUUACAUCAUCUGAUCCCACGUCCAUCUGCUCAUGGCCCACACCCAAUGCUGACCAAAUUUACCACAGGAAAAAGGCUUGGCAGCUGACAAUGGAGUUCAUCCAUGGCAGGUUCCUGGAACCCAGCACUGAUGAGCAAUGAGAGCCCUGAGACCUACGCAGCCCAACACCACAGUGAAAAGAUUCUGGGUCCAUGUCAGACAAUCAUUAGAGAAAGGAUGACACCCACUGCUGGACUGCACUGCCGUGACCAGUUACAGCUGCUACCUGAGGCAAAAUACUGGGGAAAAAGCUUCCUGAAGACAAGUACUUCUAAUGCCACCUCCUGUUCCAAAAUCCAGAUUAUGCCUCAUGCCCCACGAGGGCCAGAGCAGAAGGGGAAGGGUGGUCCCCCCUUUGGCCCUGUGAGGACAGCCCCUCAGUGCAUUAGUCCCUUUCUAAGUCCCUUUCUCACAGACCUCUGGGAAUUUCCCAUGUUUGGGGGCUCUUCGUCCAAAUCCCUGCCUCCCACUCAGCACAGUGUCCUUAGUGAAGAGCAGCAGUCAGUUUAAGAAAUCACCAUUUGCUGACUUGUUAAUGCUUACAUGCAGCAAAGGCUCAUCCUGAUGUCCUUUUAAACUUCUCUGCAUAUUGUGUCUGAAUCUUUAUCAUGCCUUUCCUCAUUGCCGUCUACAAGUCUCAAAGUUGAAUUUGAUUUUUGCUGUGCUCUAAAAAUUGGCAAAAGUGACACUGCUCUGCAUUAGAGGGUAGAAGCUGGUCACGGGACAUCAACACUGACAGAGCUGCCCACUGGGUUUGGGAGUUAGUGAUGGACUUAGAAAACACUGAGAAUAUCUUGGAAAGAAUCAAGACUCCACAGGAGUUCCCAUUUGCAUUGGCUACCUUCCACUGCUCCCCUUUCCCUCUAUCCUCCCAGCUCCUCCUACGGUGGCUUCCCUGAUAUACCACCUGCUCUCAAAUCCUGCCGCCAUGCCCUGCUUCUGGGAAAACCCAAAUAAAACACUUCCCGGCAACCUC